RNAcentral lists this ribosomal RNA (351 nucleotides) under uncultured bacterium. RNAcentral's name for it is "partial 16S ribosomal RNA". It matches the Rfam family "Bacterial small subunit ribosomal RNA", at positions 338 to 681 of the family's 1533-position model. The record is from RNAcentral.
ACUACGGGUGGCAGCAGUGGGGAAUAUUGCGCAAUGGGCGAAAGCCUGACGCAGCGACGCCGCGUGAGGGAUGAAGGUCUUCGGAGCGUAAACCUCUGUCAGCAGGGAAGAACGGUCACGGUGCUAAGCAGCAGUGAAUUGACGGUACCUGCAAAGGAAGCACCGGCUAACUCCGUGCCAGCAGCCGCGGCAAUACGGAGGGGGAGAGCGUUAAUCGGAAUGACUGGGCGAAAAGCGCUCGUAGGCGGUACGUCCAGUCAAGGGGGAAAUCCCCCCGCUCAACGUGGGAACUGCCUUUGAAACUGGCAGCCUGGAUUGUGUGUGAGGCUAUUGGAAUUCCUGGUGUAGCCG